RNAcentral lists this ribosomal RNA (492 nucleotides) under uncultured bacterium. RNAcentral describes it as "partial 16S ribosomal RNA". It matches the Rfam family "Bacterial small subunit ribosomal RNA", at positions 28 to 507 of the family's 1533-position model. The record is from RNAcentral.
AGUGAACGCUGGCGGCAGGCCUAACACAUGCAAGUCGAACGGCAGCACAGUGCUUGCUUGUUGUUCCGGGUGGGGAGUGGGGGGCGGGUCAGGAGAAUAUCCGAGUCUACUUUUUGGAAGGGCUUAAGGCAGGGGCACUUACGACAUUACAGCAUACGCAGUACGGGGGAGAGCGUGGGACCUUCGGCCCUCGCGGGAUUGGAUGUGCGGAUGUCGAGUUUGUUAGUUGGGGGGGUACAGGCCCACCCAGGCGACGAUCCGUAGCUGGUCUGAGAGGAUGAUCAGCCACACUGGAACUGAGACACGGUCAAGACUCCUACGGGAGGCAGCAGUGGGGAAUAUUGGACAAUGGGCGGAAGCCUGAUCCAGCCAUGCCGCGUGUGUGAAGAAGGCCUUCGGUUUGUAAAGCCCUUUUGUUGGGAAAGAAGGGCAGUAGGUUAAUACCCCGCUGUUCUGACGUUACCCAGAGAAUAAGCACCGGCUAACUUCGUG